RNAcentral lists this long non-coding RNA (5106 nucleotides) under Sus scrofa (pig). Its description in RNAcentral is "lncRNA (ENSSSCG00015067660.1)". The record is from RNAcentral. Lineage: Eukaryota; Metazoa; Chordata; Mammalia; Artiodactyla; Suidae.
UUUUUUUUUUUUUUUUGGUGUAUGACUGGGUGGGCUAAGGAUCAAAUUCUCACCACAGCAAUGAAAAUACCAGAUCCUUAACCUGCUGAGCCCGGAGGGAACUCAAAGGACCAGUGAUUUUUAAGGUUUGAUCUUAUGGUAAUUUUUUGGCAAGGUUUGUCUUUGUUUGUUUGUUUGUUUGUUUGUGGUUAAAGUUACCUUUUAAAAAAAUAUGGUGUAGAGUGUACGUUAUUUUUAGCUAAAAGAACAUAACUUUUUCUUCUUUUUAAACAGUGCCAAUGGCAGUCAUUCUUGGGUACAAACAUUAUUUCUUUCAAACGCUCUGUUUGGGAUGGUUGAUCCUAACAGCUACCACACGUUGGGCUCAUUUGGGAAAAGACACUGCUCAGAGCCAGUGAGACGUUCAAGCUAAAUGUUAUGAAGAAGGUCACUGGGCCUGGCUGCCUGCACACUGUGCCCUGUGCCUGGAGAACACAUUCCAGGGAGGGAGUCAUGUUCUUAAAAAACCCCUGAGUUCCCGCUGUGGUGCCAUCGGUUAAGGAUCCAGUACGGCCACAGUUAUGGUGCAGGUCACAGAUGCGGCUCAGCUUUGAUCCCCGGCCCCAGAACUUCCAUAUGCUUGGGGUGCGGCUAAAAAAGGGGGAAAAAUCUCCCUGGGUGACUCUAGUGAGCAAGUGAGGGGAAAUAUUGAAAUACAGUGAGGAUUCCCUCAGCACCACUGUUGGGGACCACGGAACAGCUGAACUCUGCAGAAGGCAAAUAUCUAUGGACACAGAGUUCUGAAGUACCAAGUGUCCUCCAAAGACAAGAUAAAGGACUUAUGCAUUAACCAUGUCAUUCCAUAAACAGCUGCACUGUGUCCUAAGGAUACCCCCUUGGAUAUCACUAAGAAGAUAACCUGCUUAUUGCCUAUGCCUGUUCCUGCCCACUAACCUUGUCACCUUCCUUAAUCCCACUACUAACAAGCUCAUCACCUUCCUUAAUAAGAGUCCUGUGGGCUAAAGCCCAGGCGCCUUUGUUCUGUGGACCAGAGUGCCUCCUGGUCCCACACUUUCCAGGUGUAAGAGUCUUGCGUGUUCUGUGACACCCUGCCGUCCCGCUUCCAGGAUUGGAAUGACGCGUCACCAGCUUCCAGGAGCAUCUGAGGCCGUCCUCCCACAGCCUCACGUCUCUACACAGAAGAGCCCCCUUCUCCUCAGAGCUGAGGGCCACACAGGAAGGAGGGCUCUGGCCUCCAGAGAGGAGCCACACAGAGGAAGGGACCAGGCACCCUGCACAGAAGGGGACCUGCCUCCAGGAAGCCAUCACUGCUCUGACUUGAUCUUGAUCUCAGAGGAAUUUGUGCCCCAGAAGCCCCCUCAGUCCUGACCCCUGAGCAGCCAAGGGCACCCUCAAGACUCACCCUGAGGGGUGUGAGGGGAGCACACAGAGGCUCUGAGGAGACAGGGGACACAAAGCGUCAACUGCCUUGUCCCUAAGGCAGGGGACAGUGUUCAGAGCAGGGGGAAAGACCUGUCCCUGAGGGGCUCUGGUCACCAGGUCACAUGCUGUGCCUGGGUCUGGACACCAGGGGGCGCUCUGGGUGCAUUCGUCAGGGUGGAGGGGGUUUCUGGGGAUGAGAGCUGGGACCAGCCACCUAGCACUGCCUCCUGCCCUCUGUUCAGGGCUCCGAGCUGGGGACUCCCCACCGAUCCCCCGCCCCCCGCCCCCGUCGAUGCCUCUGCCCACCUCCAGGCCACCCUGAAGCAGAGGAACGUGAUCUAGAGCCCAGUGAGAGGUCAGAGCUGGGGGUGCCAUUGGCAUGCAGGGCCCCUCCCUCUCUCCGAGUAAGAAGAGGGGAAGGACAGACUGGGGGUCGCUCUGCUUCAGCUGUGGGGCCACAGCAAGCAGCCACGAGGACAGCCUGCAUCGUGGCCUGGUCCCCUCUGCUCCUCACCCUCCUGGCUCACUGCACGGGUGACUGGGGACAGGGACAGGGGAGGGGGCCUGGGAACAGCCCUGGGCCCUGCUUCCUCCUGUGUCUGCACCCCAGAAUCAGCAUCUCUGUCUCUCCUGCUUCCAGGAUCCUGGGCCCAGGCUGUGCUGACUCAGCCGCCCUCUGAGUCUGGGUCCCUGGGCCAGAGGGUCACCCUCUCCUGCACUGGGAGCAGCAGCAACAUCGGGGGUGGUAAUAGUUGUGAACUGGUCCCAGCCGCUCCCAGGAAAGGUCCCCAGAUCCGUAUUCACUUAUGCCAAUCUCAUGGCUAUUGCUGCCCCGGAUCAGAUCUCUGGCUUCAAGUCUGGCAGCUCAGGCACCCUGACCAUCACUGGGCUCCAGGCUGAGGAUGACGCUGAGUAUUACUGCACAGCCGGGGGUGACAGCCUCGAUGGCCCCACAGUGCCCCAGGCCAGGGGGCAAGUGAGACCAAAACCUGCUGUCCCCCAGCCAGGGGGCUCCCUGGGCAGAGCCAUCCUCUGCAUCAUCAGCUGCUGCCUUUGUCUGUUUGCCCACAGGCAGCCUGAGCCCAACAGCUGCCAGAACAUGUCCUCGUCACUAUCUGUCCCCAAACCUCUCCUCUGUGGCAGCACACGGUCUCAUUUCCUCAAGUUGAGCACAAAUCCCUGGAUGCUAGGGACAGGCUGCCCUGGAGACAGAGCUCAUGGCGGGUCAGAGCAGGACCCAGGACACAGAGUCCAGCUGUGCCUGAGUCAAGACACAUCAGAGUGUCCAGUCCGUGUCCUGGUGCCCACAGCACCUCCUCUCUAUGCGAGUAGUGGACCCUCGGGGUCCCUGCUGGGUUCCCUGCAGGAAGGUCUGGGGUUUGGGCUCCGUGGCCAUCAGUGGGCGCAGCUGAGAGCCUGGCUGCUCCUCCUGCCUUGCCCAUGAAAGCCUCUCAGGCUCACCCCAAACCUCAGUCCUGGAGCGGAAACCGAGCCCUGGACCCCUGCUCCUCUGUGGAGGUAGCCGCCCAGGGCCUCCUGCUCAGGCUCCCGCAGGAGCUGCUGCUGCUGCCCUCCUGGCUCCAGGUCAUCUGGGGCCCUGGCUGGGGUGGGGCGCCUCCCCUCCCCUCUGUCCUCCAAGUCCCUCCAGCUGCCCCUUCCUGUCCACCUGUGUUAGGGAUAAACAGGGAGGGUCUUUUCUUCUUCUUUUCUUCUUUUUGAGCACCCGCGCCCUUGUGCAGAAGUAAAGGGCCUAGUCGCGAUCUCCCCGUGUUCAUGUGUCUCACUUUCUGACACUGACGAUCCGAGCCAGAGUCAUUUUAAUUUUCCAGCGCUGGGCACGAAUCAGAGAACAGCUGGCGCCUUUACCGUAGGGGUGUGGAAAAGGGAAUAGGGAGCUUGGCAAGAGCGAAGCCAUCUUGCUGCCACUGUCCAUCUUGGUGAACUUAAACUGACCCAUACGAGGGCUCUGAGCAAAACAAAGUCGUUAGCACUUGAGAAACUCCGGGCCCCAAUUGUUCUCGAGAUAUUCAAAAAAGGAUAGCUAGGUUGUACUUGAGGUGAAUCAUUCAUUAAAGGAACAACAUAAGACAUUCUGUACAGCUAUACAUAUUUCUGUAUCCUGCAUGUAACUAAAGCCUAACGGAGCAUGUUAGCUACAUAAGCAAGCACUAUAAAUGUCUCUCCCCUUUCCGCUUGGGGUCCAUGAUUGGAAAGUGAUUCCCCACGGGCCGCCGGCGUAAUAAAGCUGUUCUCCACCUUCCUCGUGUGUCCUCUGAGGUGAUUUCUGGGACUUCGACAACAUUUACCACAUAUGUUCCACAAAUCCCCUUAAGUUCUUGAAUACAGUCAUGGUGUUUCCUCAAAAGGAAAAACAAAAACGAAAAACAAGAACAAAACCAAGAAAGCAAAACCUGUGUUCUAGGCUUUUAGGGUCCCCAGUCAGGAGUAGAGGCCAUGCUGGGCCAUUUCAGUUCCUUCAAUUGUCAAAACGUGCAAGGGUCCACCCUCUGAGGCUCAGCCCAAGGCCCGUGAUUAAUGCCAUUUGCCCCAACGUGGAUGUGGACGGGACGGAACUAGAGAUGAUCUUAUUAAGUGAAGUAAGUCAACAAGACACGGGCAAAUCCCAUAUGAUAUCAUUUAUAUGUGGAAUAGAACAUAAGGCACACGGGAACCGAACUGCGAAACACAAUCAGACCCCCAGACAGAAAGAAGAGACGUGUGGUUGCCAAGGGGGUAGAGGGGUAGGGGAGGGAUGGUCUGGGGGGAGCUGAUGCAAACUGCUGUACUUAGAACAGAUAAGCAACGGGUCCUACUGCUUAGCAUGGGGAGCUAGAUUCAAUUAUCUUGGGACAAACUGAGGCAGAAUAUUACGUAGUCAGUGUAGGAACAGGGGCUCCGAUACAUUCUUUCAUAGGGCUAUUGACUAACACUUGUGGCUUAAAGGCUCCGGGAAGUAACAUCCCCACAGGCCUUGUUUACUGUAGGAAAUGCGAAUCUCUAGCCCACUCCUCAACUGAUAGAAAAGGAACGAGAGGAAUGGUGACUCAAUCUAAGGAAAGAAAAGGGCACAAAACCCAUAAAACUUCCAGGAAAUUUCCAACCCUAAAAGCCCUAUUGCACAAGGACUGAUACAGGUAAUUGAGCAAGGCCAGUGGGAGAAAACCACAUCUUUCUGGACCCCACGUUGGUACCCUCCCCACCUUUAAAAGAUAAAAAGCCCUACAGGACAAUAGGGAGCGGGGGCUCUUCUCCCUGCUCCUUGCAGCCCUGGGAGCCAUUUGCUUUCCUUUAAGAGGGACUUUGCUUGCUAGCUGCCUGUGUAUUCUCAGAGGUCAUUCUUCGACUGCCAUGAACGAGAACCCGGAUUCCAGCAUCAAAAGCAUAAUGGAAACGAACAUAAAAAAGAAUGUAUAUAUAUAUGUAUAACUAUCACUUAGCUGAAUGGCACGAAUAGGCACAAUAUUGUAAAUCAACUACAAUUCAAUAAAAAUAGUAAACAAAUAAAAAAACAAUAAGGAAACUAUAUAUAUAUAUAUAUACACACACACACAACAUUGAGGGUAUAUAUGUAGCCUAAACUUUUUCUUUUUCUUCUUUUUUUCUUUUUUUCUCUUUGUGCCUUUUCUAGGGCCGCUCCCAGGGCAUGUGGUGGUUCCCAGGCUAGGGGUCUAAUCGGAGCUGUAG